UGCUGAUGUUGCUCUGUGUGAUGCAGGAGGUCGGGGAGCAGAGCUGUGGAGCUGUGGAGGUGACGGCUGUCUGAGACGGAGCGUCUGCCUCUGCUGUGAGUCUCCUUCAUGUUUCUCCACAUGUAUUAUCUGUGUUUCCACCACUGGAGGGCGCUGUGGGUUAUUGAUGUGUGGGAACAGCCAAUCACUGCAGGCUGAAUGCUUCUCUUUGGUCAUGUGACCAUUUGAUCUCUGAUCAGUGUGUUCUUCAGUUUCAGGCCUGUUUCUGCUGACUGCUGCAGGUGAGCUGAUGUUCCUACACCUGUCUGUCCUCAUCAUGACCUCUGACCUUUGGUGACCUUUAGUGACCUCUGUCCUGUUGCAGGUGUGUGUGUGCUGCUGCUGUCUGCUCUGACCGUUUCUACAGACUCCCAGCAUGCCCCAGGGGUGGAGGUGUUUGAGAGGGCGGAGUCUGUCCUGCUGUCCUGUCAGGUACCAGCUGAUGUUUCCAGGAGUGCCACACCAGGAGUGAGGGACCGCGAUGAGUUGAAGGUCCCAACAGUCCACAUACGUCUGCAGAGCGGAGUAGAUCUUAAAGAUCAGAAC
Astatotilapia calliptera (eastern happy) is the source of this 585-nucleotide long non-coding RNA. The record is from Ensembl. Lineage: Eukaryota; Metazoa; Chordata; Actinopteri; Cichliformes; Cichlidae.